This 253-nucleotide ribosomal RNA is filed under the name uncultured bacterium. RNAcentral's name for it is "partial 16S ribosomal RNA". It matches the Rfam family "Bacterial small subunit ribosomal RNA", at positions 524 to 776 of the family's 1533-position model. The record is from RNAcentral.
UACGGAGGGUGCAAGCGUUAUCCGGAUUCACUGGGUUUAAAGGGUGCGUAGGUGGAUCAAUAAGUCAGUGGUGAAAGCCCCGAGCUCAACUUGGGAAUUGCCAUUGAUACUGUAGAUCUUGAGCGCGGUUGAGGUAGGCGGAAUGUUACAUGUAGCGGUGAAAUGCUUAGAUAUGUAACAGAACACCAAUUGCGAAGGCAGCUUACCAAGCCGAUACUGACACUGAGGCACGAAAGCGUGGGGAACAAACAGG